This 720-nucleotide long non-coding RNA is filed under the name Ananas comosus (pineapple). Its description in RNAcentral is "long non-coding RNA (ACOM_LNC041142)". Lineage: Eukaryota; Viridiplantae; Streptophyta; Magnoliopsida; Poales; Bromeliaceae. The record is from RNAcentral.
UUAUGAUUCUCUUUGAAGCGUAGAAAAAAAGUUAGUAACUGAAAACAUAGGGGUGUUUGGCCUAGCUUUUAAAAAGUAAUUUUGGGUUGAAAAGUGAUUUUUGAUUUAAUAGAGCGUUUGGCAACCUUAUUUUUAAAAUCUAAUUCUGCUUUUCAAAAUCAGAAAAUUGAUUUUGAAGCAACCAGAAUCAGAAACAGAAAAAAACUGCUUCUUGAAAUCUGAUUCUGAUUUUAGACUGAAAUUUCAAUUUUUUAUUUUUAUUUUAAAUUAAUUUAAUGUUUAAAUUUAAUUUUAAUUUUAAAUUUUAAUUUCAGAUUCAUUUUUUGAAUUUUUAAAUUUUAACUUUUAAAUUUUAAAAUUUAAAAAAUAGAUUUCAAACUUUAAAUUUUAAAUUUUAAUUUCAAAUUUUAAAUCUCAAAUUUUAGAUUUUAAAUUUUCAAUUUUUAAAAUUCAAAUUUCAAAUUUAAAACUUAAGAUAAAAUUUAAAAUUUCACAUUUUAGAUUUUAAAAUUUAAAUUUAAAAAUUUAAAAAUUUUAAAUUUUAAAUUACAAGUUUUAAUCUUCAAAUUAUAAAUUUCAAAUUCUUAAAAUUUAAAUUUUAAAUAUUCAAAUUUUAAUUUUAAAUAUACAAAUUUUAAAUUUUAAAUUUUAAAUAUUCAAAUUUUAAAUUUUAUAUUUUAAAUUUCAUAAUUAUUUUAAAUUUUAAAUUUUAAAUUUCAU